UUCGCCUCAUAUGUAAACAAACCAGGGCUGGGUGAGGUGAGGACAAGGCGGCAAGGUGGCCAGUGUCCCGCCAGUCAGCAAGGGGGAAGGGUGCGCCGCGCCUCGCUCCGGCCUGGCCCUCCCUCUCUGCUUCUGCCUGAGAUAGAUCAUUGCUUUCACACAAGUGAACAAAAGGAUAAAAAAAAAUAAAGUGAAGGAAAGAAAAUAGAAAGGAAAAAAAAAAAGACGUUAA
Molecule: long non-coding RNA, 232 nt
Organism: Scylla paramamosain (green mud crab)
Lineage: Eukaryota; Metazoa; Arthropoda; Malacostraca; Decapoda; Portunidae
Exons: 2
Source: RefSeq, a predicted model, not a curated record